RNAcentral lists this ribosomal RNA (583 nucleotides) under uncultured bacterium. RNAcentral describes it as "bacterial SSU rRNA". It matches the Rfam family "Bacterial small subunit ribosomal RNA", at positions 338 to 911 of the family's 1533-position model. The record is from RNAcentral.
CCUACGGGAGGCAGCAGUAGGGAAUCUUCCGCAAUGGACGAAAGUCUGACGGAGCAACGCCGCGUGAGUGAUGAAGGCUUUCGGGUCGUAAAACUCUGUUGUUAGGGAAGAACAAGUGCUAGUUGAAUAAGCUGGCACCUUGACGGUACCUAACCAGAAAGCCACGGCUAACUACGUGCCAGCAGCCGCGGUAAUACGUAGGUGGCAAGCGUUAUCCGGAAUCAUUGGGCGUAAAGCGCGCGCAGGUGGUUUCUUAAGUCUGAUGUGAAAGCCCACGGCUCAACCGUGGAGGGUCAUUGGAAACUGGGAGACUUGAGUGCAGAAGAGGAAAGUGGAAUUCCAUGUGUAGCGGUGAAAUGCGUAGAGAUAUGGAGGAACACCAGUGGCGAAGGCGACUUUCUGGUCUGUAACUGACACUGAGGCGCGAAAGCGUGGGGAGCAAACAGGAUUAGAUACCCUGGUAGUCCACGCCGUAAACGAUGAGUGCUAAGUGUUAGGGGGUUUCCGCCCCUUAGUGCUGCAGCUAACGCAUUAAGCACUCCGCCUGGGGAGUACGGUCGCAAGACUGAAACUCAAAGGAAUU